RNAcentral lists this long non-coding RNA (1059 nucleotides) under Marmota monax (woodchuck). Lineage: Eukaryota; Metazoa; Chordata; Mammalia; Rodentia; Sciuridae. The record is from RNAcentral.
UUNUAUUCCUCUCCUUUAGCUUCUUAAAUAUAUGGGAUUAGUUGUGUGCCAUGAUCCCAGCUAUUGUUAGUUUUUUCAGUAAUAUGCAUAGUUUUUUAUAUCAGCUACCCAAUUUACUUGCACACACCAAUGCAUAAGUGUUGAUUUUUCUCCACAUCCACAUCAGUGGUUGUCACAUUUCUAAUUUAUCCAUUUUGACUGGGAUGAGAUGAUACCUCACGUAUUUUUUUUUUCUUGUGGUGCUGGGACUGAAUUCAGGGCCUUGUGCAUGCAAGGUAAGCACUCUACCAACUGAGCUAUUUCCCCAGUCUUCCACAUUGUAUUUUUGAUUUGCUUUUUCCUGAAGGCUAAUUAUAUUGAACAUUUUUCUAUAUGUUUACUGGAACUUUUUGUUUCUUCUUUUGAAAACUGUCUACUUUAUUUGCCGACUUUUAAAUGGCAUUACUUAGUUUUUGAUUGUAUGUUUUGUUUUAUUAUUUUGUGUUCUUUAUGUAUUGUAAAUAUGAAGCUUGUAUCAAAUGCAUACUGGGCAAAGAGUUUCUCCCAUCUUAUAGAGAUUCCACUUUUUUUCUUUGGUGUAAAUCAGGUUUUUAGUUUAAUGCCAUUUUUAUUUAUUCAUUUUUUGAUUUUGAAAUUAUUUCCAAAACAUUUGUUGUCCUUACAAGAGCUUAAAUGGCUUUCUCUUGUUUAUUUUGUAGUUUUACAGUCAGGUCUUUUACCCCUUUUGAAUUGAUUUUGAACAGGGUGAGGAAUCAGGAUCCUCUUUCUUUAGAACUGAAACUUUAUACUGAGCUUUAAAAUUGGGGUGAGUCUUCCAAUUUUGUUCUUUAUAUUUCUCUUGAAGAAAACCUGUAUUUCAUAUUUGAGGUUGACUGAACUUCUAUGUUCACUUUAGGCUUACCAUUCCAUCUUUUUCAAAAAUGGCAUGUGGGAAUUUUGGUAAGGUUUACAUUGGUAUGUAAAUCAACUUGCAUUUUACCAUUUCAGCAACAUUAAACUUAUCAAUAAAUAAUGGAUGCCUACUUAGUCUUUUAAACAUUUUGUAUAGUAUUUUCUGCU